AGCAUGCAGAGGCCAACAGCAUCCCUCUCUCAGCACAGGGCUUCCAUAACAAAGCGUCACAAACCGAGUGGCUUAAACAACAAAGAUGUAUUGUUUCACAGUUCUGGAGGCUAGAAAACUGAAAUCAAGACUGAGGUCAGUUCAUCCCUGUUUUCAGCUAACCUCGACAUCCCC
Long non-coding RNA from Orcinus orca (killer whale), 174 nucleotides. RefSeq lists it as uncharacterized. The record is from RefSeq and is a predicted model, not a curated record. The transcript is spliced from 3 exons. NCBI's taxonomy places the organism in Eukaryota, Metazoa, Chordata, Mammalia, Artiodactyla, Delphinidae.